UAAGGGCUGUGAAGCAAGACCGGAAGGACUUGUGGAGCGCUUAGAAGUGAGAAUGCCGGUAUGAGUAGCGAAAGAGGGGUGAGAAUCCCCUCCACCGAAUGCCUAAGGUUUCCUGAGGAAGGCUCGGCCGCUCAGGGUUAGUCGGGACCUAAGCCGAGGCCGAAAGGCGUAGGCGAUGGAUAACAGGUUGAUAUUCCUGUACCACCUCCUCACCAUUUGAGCAAUGGGGGGACGCAGGAGGAUAGGGUAAGCGCGGUAUUGGAUAUCCGCGUCCAAGCAGUUAGGCUGGGAAAUAGGCAAAUCCGUUUCCCGUGAAGGCUGAGCU
RNAcentral lists this ribosomal RNA (325 nucleotides) under Bacillus velezensis. RNAcentral's name for it is "bacterial LSU rRNA". It matches the Rfam family "Bacterial large subunit ribosomal RNA", at positions 1242 to 1562 of the family's 2925-position model. The record is from RNAcentral. Lineage: Bacteria; Bacillati; Bacillota; Bacilli; Caryophanales; Bacillaceae.